GACGAACGCUGGCGGCGUGCCUAACACAUGCAAGUCGAACGGGGAGUUAGCAAUAACUCCUAGUGGCGAACGGGUGAGUAACGCGUAGACAACCUGCCUCUAAACUGGGGACAACACCGCGAAAGUGGUGCUAAUACCGAAUGUGGUAACUUGAUCGCAUGAUCGAGUUAAGAAAGAUGGCCUCUAUUUAUAAGCUAUCGAUUAGAGAUGGGUCUGCGUCUGAUUAGCUAGUUGGUGAGGUAAUGGCUCACCAAGGCGACGAGCAGUAGCCGGUAUGAGAGGAUGAACGGCCACCCUGGGACUGAGACACGGCCCAGACUCCUACGGGAGGCAGCAGUGGGGAAUCUUCCGCAAUGGACGAAAGUCUGACGGAGCAACGCCGCGUGAGUGAAGAAGGUCUUCGGAUUGUAAAGCUCUGUCGUUUGGGACGAACGUGGGUAGUGUGAAUAAUGCUAUCUAAUGACGGUACCAAAGGAGGAAGCCACGGCUAACUACGUGCCAGCAGCCGCCGUAA
Molecule: ribosomal RNA, 514 nt
Filed under: uncultured bacterium
Lineage: Bacteria
Description: partial 16S ribosomal RNA
Rfam family: Bacterial small subunit ribosomal RNA
Source: RNAcentral